Molecule: ribosomal RNA, 431 nt
Filed under: uncultured bacterium
Lineage: Bacteria
Description: partial 16S ribosomal RNA
Rfam family: Bacterial small subunit ribosomal RNA
Source: RNAcentral
AACGAACGCUGGCGGCAUGCCUAACACAUGCAAGUCGAACGAGACCUUCGGGUCUAGUGGCGCACGGGUGCGUAACGCGUGGGAACCUGCCCUUAGGUUCGGAAUAACUCCCCGAAAGGGGUGCUAAUACCGGAUAAUGUCUUCGGACCAAAGAUUUAUCGCCUUUGGAUGGGCCCGCGUUGGAUUAGCUAGUUGGUAGGGUAAAAGCCUACCAAGGCGACGAUCCAUAGCUGGUCUGAGAGGAUGAUCAGCCACACUGGGACUGAGACACGGCCCAGACUCCUACGAGAGGCAGCAGUGGGGAAGAUUGGACAAGGGGCGAAAGCCUGAUCCAGCAAUGCCGCGUGAGUGAUGAAGGCCUUAGGGUUGUAAAGCUCUUUUACCCGGGAUGAUAAUGACAGUACCGGGAGAAUAAGCUGCGGCUAACUCCG